GCCCAGACUCCUACGGGAGGCAGCAGUGGGGAAUAUUGGGCAAUGGGGGAAACCCUGACCCAGCAACGCCGCGUGAAGGAAGAAGGCUUUCGGGUUGUAAACUUCUUUUACCAGGGACGAAGAAAGUGACGGUACCUGGAGAAAAAGCUCCGGCUAACUACGUGCCAGCAGCCGCGGUAAUACGGAGGAUGCGAGCGUUAUCCGGAUUUAUUGGGUUUAAAGGGUGCGCAGGCGGCACGGCAAGCCGGCGGUCAAAUCGCGGGGCUCAACCCCGCCCAGCCGUCGGAACUGGGUGCCUUGAGUGGGCGAGAAGUAUGCGGAAUGCGUGGUGUAGCGGUGAAAUGCAUAGAUAUCACGCAGAACCCCGAUUGCGAAGGCAGCAUACCGGCGCCCUACUGACGCUGAGGCACGAAAGUGCGGGUAUCGAACAGGAUUAGAUACCCCUGUA
This 448-nucleotide ribosomal RNA is filed under the name uncultured bacterium. RNAcentral describes it as "partial 16S ribosomal RNA". It matches the Rfam family "Bacterial small subunit ribosomal RNA", at positions 329 to 792 of the family's 1533-position model. The record is from RNAcentral.